CUAUACAUAAAGCAACCUUCGUGGUUACACCAUAAGGAAAUAAGGAAUAAGAGUGUAUUCCGCGGUUCUACAAAGUUCAUCUAUACACCCUCAAAAACUCUCAUAUUUCUCUCACCAAACAACCUGCAUACUUCCAAAGGAGCAACAUUCCAUGCCCGUUUUCCUUUCCACCCAUCAGUCUAUCACAAUUCCAACUAAAUUUAGCUCUUUCAUGGUCCUUGGAUCACCCAAGUUCUACCAAACCAACACAAAAUCUCCACAUUUACUGAAACUUGCUGAUUGGGACGAGGCACCUAAUUCAAGCACUCAUUUCCUCAUUACAUGUGCAUAAUUAAGUCAAAAUCUAGCAGGCAUUCAGCAUAUUAUACUCUCUUAAAGAAUUCUAUAUCACCCACAGAAUGCCGGAUCUAAGUUUCAAAAAUAGACCAUGAAAUGACAAGUUCGUAGCAGACAUUGAUAAGAAUGAAGGCAUUCAAGCACUCAUUUCCUCAUUACAUGUCCAAAAUAAAGAAAAAAUCUAGCAGACAUUCAGUAUAUUAUACUCUCUUAAG
This 551-nucleotide long non-coding RNA is filed under the name Nicotiana benthamiana. RNAcentral's name for it is "long non-coding RNA (NBEN_LNC032478)". The record is from RNAcentral. Lineage: Eukaryota; Viridiplantae; Streptophyta; Magnoliopsida; Solanales; Solanaceae.